Molecule: ribosomal RNA, 561 nt
Filed under: Simkania sp.
Lineage: Bacteria; Pseudomonadati; Chlamydiota; Chlamydiia; Parachlamydiales; Simkaniaceae
Description: bacterial SSU rRNA
Rfam family: Bacterial small subunit ribosomal RNA
Source: RNAcentral
UUUAUUGAGAAUUUGAUCCUGGUUCAGAUUGAAUGCUGACGGCGUGGAUGAGGCAUGCAAGUCGAACGAAGUAGUAACUUGUUACUACUUAGUGGCGAAAGGGUUAGUAAUACAUGAGUAACUUACCUCUUACCUGGGGAUAACGGUUGGAAACGACCGCUAAUACCGAAUGAGGAGAGCUGGGGUAGCCUGGUUUCUUCAAAGUUGGGGAUUCUGCAAAGAACCUUGCGGUAGGAGAGAGGCUCAUGGGAUAUCAGCUUGUUGGUGUGGUAAAGGCGCACCAAGGCUAAGACGUCUAGGCGGGCUGAGAGGUUGACCGCCAACACUGGGACUGAGACACUGCCCAGACUCCUACGGGAGGCUGCAGUCGAGAAUCAUUCGCAAUGGGCGAAAGCCUGACGAUGCGACGCCGUGUGAACGAUGAAGGCCUUCGGGUUGUAAAGUUCUUUCGCUAAGGAACAAGAAAAGGUAACGAAUAAUUGCCUAAUUUGAGGGUACUUGGUAAAGAAGCACCGGCUAACUCCGUGCCAGCAGCUGCGGUAAUACGGAGGGUGCAAGCAU